This 88-nucleotide transfer RNA is filed under the name Erythranthe guttata (spotted monkey flower). RNAcentral describes it as "Mimulus guttatus (spotted monkey flower) tRNA". It matches the Rfam family "tRNA". Rfam says of the family: Transfer RNA (tRNA) molecules are approximately 80 nucleotides in length. Their secondary structure includes four short double-helical elements and three loops (D, anti-codon, and T loops). Lineage: Eukaryota; Viridiplantae; Streptophyta; Magnoliopsida; Lamiales; Phrymaceae. The record is from Rfam by way of RNAcentral.
CCGACUUUAGCUCAGUUGGUAGAGCGGAAGACUGUAGUAUGAAUUAGCUGUUAUCUUUAGGUCGCUGGUUCGAAUCCGGCAAGUCGGA